GUAGGGAAUCUUGCGCAAUGGGCGAAAGCCUGACGCAGCCAUGCCGCGUGAAUGAUGAAGGUCUUAGGAUUGUAAAAUUCUUUCACCGGGGACGAUAAUGACGGUACCCGGAGAAGAAGCCCCGGCUAACUUCGUGCCAGCAGCCGCGGUAAUACGAAGGGGGCUAGCGUUGCUCGGAAUUACUGGGCGUAAAGGGAGCGUAGGCGGAUAGUUUAGUCAGAGGUGAAAGCCCAGGGCUCAACCUUGGAAUUGCCUUUGAUACUGGCUAUCUUGAGUAUGGAAGAGGUAUGUGGAACUCCGAGUGUAGAGGUGAAAUUCGUAGAUAUUCGGAAGAACACCAGUGGCGAAGGCGACAUACUGGUCCAUUACUGACGCUGAGGCUCGAAAGCGUGGGGAGCAAACAGGAUUAGAUACCCGAGUAGUCC
RNAcentral lists this ribosomal RNA (425 nucleotides) under uncultured bacterium. RNAcentral's name for it is "bacterial SSU rRNA". It matches the Rfam family "Bacterial small subunit ribosomal RNA", at positions 354 to 796 of the family's 1533-position model. The record is from RNAcentral.